AGAUCCCUCGCGUCGUGUGGAUGAGAAGCUGCGUUCAGGUUCGAGCCGAGCGAAGCGAGACGACAACGCGAACGCGUUGCCCGCAGGGUGAGGCCAAAGGCCGAAUCAAUCCCGCACGACCCACCA
Molecule: small RNA, 126 nt
Filed under: Rouxiella badensis
Lineage: Bacteria; Pseudomonadati; Pseudomonadota; Gammaproteobacteria; Enterobacterales; Yersiniaceae
Description: RtT sRNA
Rfam family: RtT RNA
About the family: This family represents a bacterial cis-regulatory element known as RtT RNA.
Source: RNAcentral